UUGGGGGAAAUUGCGAAUGGGCGAAGCCUGAUCCAGCCAUGCCGCGUGAGUGAUGAAGGCCUUCUGGUUUGAAAACUGUUUUUGUUGGGAAAAAAACCUUCCUCCUUGUACCCGGUUGACUUGACGGUACCAAUAAAGAACGCCCCGGUUAAAGCCGUGCCCCCAGCCGCUCAAAUCA
RNAcentral lists this ribosomal RNA (178 nucleotides) under uncultured Lysobacter sp. RNAcentral's name for it is "partial 16S ribosomal RNA". It matches the Rfam family "Bacterial small subunit ribosomal RNA", at positions 354 to 526 of the family's 1533-position model. The record is from RNAcentral. Lineage: Bacteria; Pseudomonadati; Pseudomonadota; Gammaproteobacteria; Lysobacterales; Lysobacteraceae.